RNAcentral lists this ribosomal RNA (782 nucleotides) under Salmonella enterica subsp. enterica. Its description in RNAcentral is "bacterial LSU rRNA". It matches the Rfam family "Bacterial large subunit ribosomal RNA", at positions 1 to 816 of the family's 2925-position model. Lineage: Bacteria; Pseudomonadati; Pseudomonadota; Gammaproteobacteria; Enterobacterales; Enterobacteriaceae. The record is from RNAcentral.
GGGUUGUGAGGUUAAGCGACUAAGCGUACACGGUGGAUGCCCUGGCAGUCAGAGGCGAUGAAGGACGUGCUAAUCUGCGAUAAGCGCCGGUAAGGUGAUAUGAACCGUUAUAACCGGCGAUUUCCGAAUGGGGAAACCCAGUGUGACUCGUCACACUAUCAUUAACUGAAUCCAUAGGUUAAUGAGGCGAACCGGGGGAACUGAAACAUCUAAGUACCCCGAGGAAAAGAAAUCAACCGAGAUUCCCCCAGUAGCGGCGAGCGAACGGGGAGGAGCCCAGAGCCUGAAUCAGCAUGUGUGUUAGUGGAAGCGUCUGGAAAGGCGCGCGAUACAGGGUGACAGCCCCGUACACAAAAGCGCAUGUGCUGUGAGCUCGAUGAGUAGGGCGGGACACGUGGUAUCCUGUCUGAAUAUGGGGGGACCAUCCUCCAAGGCUAAAUACUCCUGACUGACCGAUAGUGAACCAGUACCGUGAGGGAAAGGCGAAAAGAACCCCGGCGAGGGGAGUGAAAAAGAACCUGAAACCGUGUACGUACAAGCAGUGGGAGCACCCUUUGGGGUGUGACUGCGUACCUUUUGUAUAAUGGGUCAGCGACUUAUAUUCUGUAGCAAGGUUAACCGAAUAGGGGAGCCGGAGGGAAACCGAGUCUUAAUCGGGCGUUAAGUUGCAGGGUAUAGACCCGAAACCCGGUGAUCUAGCCAUGGGCAGGUUGAAGGUUGGGUAACACUAACUGGAGGACCGAACCGACUAAUGUUGAAAAAUUAGCGGAUGACCUGUGGCU